RNAcentral lists this transfer RNA (76 nucleotides) under Desulfurella acetivorans. Its description in RNAcentral is "tRNA-Lys". It matches the Rfam family "tRNA". From Rfam's summary of the family: Transfer RNA (tRNA) molecules are approximately 80 nucleotides in length. Their secondary structure includes four short double-helical elements and three loops (D, anti-codon, and T loops). RNAcentral also lists the same sequence under 4 other names. The record is from RNAcentral. Lineage: Bacteria; Pseudomonadati; Campylobacterota; Desulfurellia; Desulfurellales; Desulfurellaceae.
GGGCCGCUAGCUCAGCUGGUAGAGCAACGGACUCUUAAUCCGUCGGUCGAAGGUUCGAUCCCUUCGCGGCUCACCA